This is a non-coding RNA of Chitinophaga pinensis DSM 2588, 65 nucleotides long. The record is from Rfam. NCBI's taxonomy places the organism in Bacteria, Pseudomonadati, Bacteroidota, Chitinophagia, Chitinophagales, Chitinophagaceae.
ACCAGGUGGAGCAGCGACCACUCAAAAAACGGGCGAAGCCGAAAAGCCAGACGAGUAGGAACAAA